CCUACGGGAGGCAGCAGUGGGGAAUAUUGGACAAUGGGCGAAAGCCUGAUCCAGCCAUGCCGCGUGUGUGAAGAAGGCCUUCGGGUUGUAAAGCACUUUCAGUGGGGAAGAAAGCCUUGGGGCUAAUACCCUCGAGGAAGGACAUCACCCACAGAAGAAGCACCGGCUAACUCCGUGCCAGCAGCCGCGGUAAUACGGAGGGUGCGAGCGUUAAUCGGAAUUACUGGGCGUAAAGCGCGCGUAGGCGGUCUGAUAAGCCGGUUGUGAAAGCCCCGGGCUCAACCUGGGAACGGCAUCCGGAACUGUCAGGCUAGAGUGCAGGAGAGGAAGGUAGAAUUCCCGGUGUAGCGGUGAAAUGCGUAGAGAUCGGGAGGAAUACCAGUGGAGAAGGCGGCCUUCUGGACUGACACUGACGCUGAGGUGCGAAAGCGUGGGUAGCAAACAGGAUUAGAUACCCCGGUAGUC
This 465-nucleotide ribosomal RNA is filed under the name Vreelandella stevensii. RNAcentral describes it as "partial 16S ribosomal RNA". It matches the Rfam family "Bacterial small subunit ribosomal RNA", at positions 338 to 795 of the family's 1533-position model. The record is from RNAcentral. Lineage: Bacteria; Pseudomonadati; Pseudomonadota; Gammaproteobacteria; Oceanospirillales; Halomonadaceae.